RNAcentral lists this ribosomal RNA (253 nucleotides) under uncultured bacterium. Its description in RNAcentral is "partial 16S ribosomal RNA". It matches the Rfam family "Bacterial small subunit ribosomal RNA", at positions 524 to 776 of the family's 1533-position model. The record is from RNAcentral.
UACGUAGGGGGCAAGCGUUGUCCGGAAUCAUUGGGCGUAAAGCGCGCGUAGGCGGCCGCGCAAGUCGGAUGUGAAAUCUCGGAGCUUAACUCCGAAACUGCAUUCGAUACUGCCGUGCUUGAGGACUGGAGAGGAGACUGGAAUUUACGGUGUAGCGGUGAAAUGCGUAGAUAUCGUAAGGAAGACCAGUGGCGAAGGCGGGUCUCUGGACAGUUCCUGACGCUGAGGCACGAAGGUCAGGGGAGCAAACGGG